Molecule: long non-coding RNA, 511 nt
Filed under: Setaria viridis
Lineage: Eukaryota; Viridiplantae; Streptophyta; Magnoliopsida; Poales; Poaceae
Description: long non-coding RNA (SVIR_LNC001624)
Source: RNAcentral
AACAACAAGAUGGGGUUAGGAAGAGAUUGGGUUUUUUUGAGAGAUAAAAGGGUAAAUUGUAGUGUGUUUGAUCGAUUGGAUAAACCCUUGAUCGGUCGUGGCCCUUCAUAUUUAUAGAUUGGGGAGGUUGUGUUCCAUGGAAAGUCCAAGUACAUUACGAAACACGUUUAAAAUCAGUUCAAACCUGAUUUAUCAAGUAAAACCUAGAUUCUCUAGAAAAAAAUACUGAAACAUUUGAUUUUUCCUAGUGUAUAUUUAUAAAAUGACCAUAACUUCCUAAUUCAGAGUUCAAAUCAGAAGAUCUACAUAUGUAUUUCAAUCAUCUCGACAAGUGCUAUACACAACAGUAAAGUCCAAUUUGUGAUGGGAGACUUCCCCAAAAUUGGAUGUUCCGGAUUUAGAAAACUGCAUCGGACUCUCCGGUUUGCCCAUCUGUGCCAAUUUUAGUCGUCAAUAUAUGCCCCUUUAUUUGGGUAAAUGUUGUGCGCAAAAAACAUUAUUAUGAUCCAUA